Molecule: ribosomal RNA, 253 nt
Filed under: uncultured bacterium
Lineage: Bacteria
Description: partial 16S ribosomal RNA
Rfam family: Bacterial small subunit ribosomal RNA
Source: RNAcentral
UACGUAGGGUGCGAGCGUUAAUCGGAAUUACUGGGCGUAAAGCGUGCGCAGGCGGUGAUGUAAGACAGGUGUGAAAUCCCCGGGCUCAACCCGGGAACUGCGUCCGAUACUGGCAGGCUUGAAUCCGGGAGAGGGAUGCGGAAUUCCAGGUGUAGCGGUGAAAUGCGUAGAUAUCUGGAGGAACACCGGUGGCGAAGGCGGCAUCCUGGACCGGCAUUGACGCUGAGGCGCGAAAGCCAGGGGAGCAAACGGG